Cyprinus carpio (common carp) is the source of this 307-nucleotide long non-coding RNA. The record is from Ensembl. Lineage: Eukaryota; Metazoa; Chordata; Actinopteri; Cypriniformes; Cyprinidae.
AAUACUAUUUCAGUUUUUCUACUUCAAAAAUUCAUGUUUAAUUCAGUGUUACUUGCUGUUUCUUUGUAAUUGUGAAAUGCACUAGCAAAGUGACAAUUGUUAAAAAAUCAAUUGUAAAAAAGUUCAAUGUGCCUAUAUUUAUCUGUUCUUACAGAGAAAAAAGAAGAAGUGGCAGUGAGACUAAAAAGAGACGAAACCUGUCUUACAUCAGCCUCUAAUUGGAGUGAAGAGGCCCAAACCCCUCGUUAGGGCAGAAGUGUGCAGCCCACCAGCAGAGGCACGACACGUGUCCACGGCCAGCAAUUAG